CCUACGGGAGGCAGCAGUGAGGAAUAUUGGUCAAUGGGCGCGAGCCUGAACCAGCCAAGCAGCGUGAAGGAUGACUGCCCUACGGGUUGUAAACUUCUUUUAUAAGAGAAUAAAGUGAGGCACGUGUGCCUUUCUGCAUGUACUUGAAGAAUAAGCAUCGGCUAACUCCGUGCCAGCAGCCGCGGUAAUACGGCGGAUCCGAGCGUUAUCCGGAUUUAUUUGGUUUAAAGGGCGCGUAGAGGGGUUGUUAAGUCAGUUGUGAAAGUUUGGGGCUCAACCGUAGAAUUGCAGUUGAUACUGGCCGCCUUGAGUGCAGUUGAGGUAGGCGGAAUUCGUGGUGUAGCGGUGAAAUGCUUAGAUAUCACGAAGAACCCCGAUUGCGAAGGCAGCGUACUGAACUGCCACUGACGCUGAUGCUCGAAAGUGUGGGGAUCAAACAGGAUUAGAUACCCCAGUAGUC
Molecule: ribosomal RNA, 460 nt
Filed under: uncultured bacterium
Lineage: Bacteria
Description: partial 16S ribosomal RNA
Rfam family: Bacterial small subunit ribosomal RNA
Source: RNAcentral